RNAcentral lists this ribosomal RNA (330 nucleotides) under uncultured eukaryote. RNAcentral's name for it is "partial 18S ribosomal RNA". It matches the Rfam family "Eukaryotic small subunit ribosomal RNA", at positions 1469 to 1796 of the family's 1831-position model. The record is from RNAcentral.
ACCCUUAGAUGUUCUGGGCCGCACGCGCGCUACACUGAUACGUUCAACGAGUUUACAACCUUGAUCGAAGGGUCUGGGUAAUCUUUUGAAUGCGUAUCGUGCUAGGGAUAGACUAUUGCAAUUAUUAGUCUUGAACGAGGAAUUCCUAGUAAACGCAAGUCAUCAGCUUGCAUUGAUUACGUCCCUGCCCUUUGUACACACCGCCCGUCGCACCUACCGAUUGAAUGACUCGGUGAAAUAUCGGGACCGUUGUCUGGUUUGAUUCAUUUCGAACUAGAUAGUGGGAACUUUCUUUAACCUAUUUAUUUAGAGGAAGGUGAAGUCGUAACA